AAAUUGAAGAGUUUGAUCAUGGCUCAGAUUGAACGCUGGCGGCAGGCCUAACACAUGCAAGUCGAACGGUAACAGGAAGCAGCUUGCUGCUUCGCUGACGAGUGGCGGACGGGUGAGUAAUGUCUGGGAAACUGC
This 135-nucleotide ribosomal RNA is filed under the name Escherichia coli. RNAcentral's name for it is "partial 16S ribosomal RNA". It matches the Rfam family "Bacterial small subunit ribosomal RNA", at positions 1 to 129 of the family's 1533-position model. RNAcentral also lists the same sequence under 11 other names. Lineage: Bacteria; Pseudomonadati; Pseudomonadota; Gammaproteobacteria; Enterobacterales; Enterobacteriaceae. The record is from RNAcentral.